AACGAACGCUGGCGGCAUGCCUAACACAUGCAAGUCGAACGAGAUCUUCGGGUCUAGUGGCGCACGGGUGCGUAACGCGUGGGAAUCUGCCCUUUGGUUCGGAAUAACAGUUGGAAACGACUGCUAAUACCGGAUGAUGACGAAAGUCCAAAGAUUUAUCGCCAGAGGAUGAGCCCGCGUAGGAUUAGCUAGUUGGUGUGGUAAAGGCGCACCAAGGCGACGAUCCUUAGCUGGUCUGAGAGGAUGAUCAGCCACACUGGGACUGAGACACGGCCAAGACUCAAACGGGAGGCAUAGGUGGGGAAUGUGGAAAAAGGGGCGAAGGCCUGAUCCAGCAAUGCCGCGUGGGUGAUGAAGGCAUUAGGGUUGAAAAGCUCUUUUACCCGGGAUGAUAAAGACAGUACCGGGAGAAUAAGCCCCGCAUAACUCCGGGCAGCCGCCGCAGAAA
Molecule: ribosomal RNA, 448 nt
Filed under: uncultured bacterium
Lineage: Bacteria
Description: partial 16S ribosomal RNA
Rfam family: Bacterial small subunit ribosomal RNA
Source: RNAcentral